UGUUCUGAAAUAUGCCUAUUCAUUCUGCAAUAUGUUCAUCACCAGGUUCACUCAUUCAGUACUCUUUUCCUUCUCAAAACAAAAAUUACAGAGCCUUCAUUCACUUCAAAGAAUACUAAAUAACAUCCUUUGUCCUCUCCAGUGAUUUCGAAAUGAAAAGUUCCGGUACAAAAUAAUAACACCAUGUGAACAAGACAGCAAUCACCAUUCUGAAGGCAAAGAAAUUUACUUUUUCAUAUCCUGACCUUCUCCAAAAGGUAAUUGUUGUAGCCCAGCCUCCAUCUGAGCUGUCAGGUGAGCCUGAGGUUGGCCUCAUUCAGCCUGUGAUUGUCCCUGCACCUGCCUCAUCAGAGAUGAAGCCAGAGUUUGUCCCGCCACCGGCCUGCCCAUAGGACUUUGGCUUUGGGCCUGAGAUGCAACCAGAGUUUGUCCCAGUAGAUUCUGGGACCAGAGACAGAAGGGUUGCAAGUAAGCAUUUUGAACCACAUUCCUCAAAACAGUCAAGGUCAGAUCUGGUGCCAGAUGGACAUUCUAGUUUGAAUGCUGGAAGUAAUAAGGUGGAGAGGGAUAAUGAGCUUGACCGGAGGAUAACUCAGUUGAGAAAAGAAAGGGAGUACGUUAGGAGUAGACAUUUGCUUUUGAAAUGAAAUAAUGAGCAACUUCUCACAGAAAAGGACCUUGAAUUUCCCUUAAGAAGGGUUGCUUUCUCUGACACAGUCAGAGGUGGUAACUUUGCUAAUCCAAGAGAGGAAGAUCUUUGCUUCGUGUUCCUGUGUACUCCUGCAGCCUUGUAUCUUGAUUCAAGUUCCAGCCUUGCUUGUUCCUGUGUAUCCACUUGAAUGUUCCAGUACUUUUGCAGUUUGGAUUUCUGUUUCAGCCAAGACCCUUGCUUUGAGUUUCAACAUUGACUCCGUACCUUGGACUAGCUUGAUGUUUGUUCCUGCAUUCCAGUUUUGCUUCUUGUGUCUCCAGCUUGACUCAUGCCUUGGAUCACUCCUUGUAACCUUGUUCAGACUAUUUGUGACACUUUUCUUGGGACUGACUUUGAUAUCCGGUUUGGACUAUGUUCUUUGAGUGAUUUUUAAAGACUUUUGCUUCAGGAUUUUCAAGUACUUUGUUCUUGUGAUCUCAAACCAUUUUAUUGACUUGGAACUUUGAUUUGCUAUUGCUUACAUAUAAUCUUCAAUAAACAGCUUGCUUGCUUAUA
This is a long non-coding RNA of Anolis carolinensis (green anole), 1207 nucleotides long. RefSeq lists it as uncharacterized. Lineage: Eukaryota; Metazoa; Chordata; Lepidosauria; Squamata; Anolidae. The record is from RefSeq and is a predicted model, not a curated record. The transcript is spliced from 2 exons.